RNAcentral lists this ribosomal RNA (354 nucleotides) under Triticum aestivum (bread wheat). RNAcentral's name for it is "partial small subunit ribosomal RNA". The record is from RNAcentral. Lineage: Eukaryota; Viridiplantae; Streptophyta; Magnoliopsida; Poales; Poaceae.
AUGGUAGCCGGCCCUACAUCUCCACUCAGAAAGGAAAAUGCUGGAGCCAAUGGAUGUUUAGUGGGACUACGUUCUGAUUUGACAAAGCUAAAGGAAGCAUAUAUCACAAAUUUCUAUCGGAAAGAGAAUAUGGGGAUGGUGUUUCAUUCUUGGCCAGCUGCGGUUGCUGGCAGUGGAGGAGCAGCAGCGGCCGAUGGCGGCGGACCAGAUCGGCGUAUCAUGGGAGCGGCCACGACGGCCGUCACGAGUGGAGCAGAGCCAAGUUGGCGCGGCGGCCGGGCGCGAUCUGGAGAACCUAUGAGUGUGGUGCGCUAUCGAGGCAGUCGCGACUUGCGCGAGUUGGAGGCGAGGUGA